This 216-nucleotide ribosomal RNA is filed under the name Glomeromycotina sp. RNAcentral's name for it is "partial small subunit ribosomal RNA". The stretch from base 40 to 216 matches the Rfam family "Eukaryotic small subunit ribosomal RNA", at positions 686 to 864 of the family's 1831-position model. Lineage: Eukaryota; Fungi; Glomeromycota. The record is from RNAcentral.
GGGUCAGUAGGUUGGUCGUGCCACCGGUACGUACUGGUCUCACUGAUUCCUCCUUCCUGAAGAACCGUAAUGCCAUUAAUUUGGUGUUGCGGGGAAACAGGACUGUUACUUUGAAAAAAUUAGAGUGUUUAAAGCAAGCUAACGCUUGAAUACAUUAGCAUGGAAUAAUGAAAUAGGACGAUCGAUCCUAUUUUGUUGGCUUCUAGAAUUGACGUA